UACGUAGGGCGCAAGCGUUGUCCGGAAUUAUUGGGCGUAAAGAGCUCGGUAGGCGGUCUGUCGCGUCGAAUGUGAAAACCCGGGGCUCAACCCCGGGCCUGCAUUCGAUACGGGCAGACUAGAGUUCGGUGAGGGGAGUCGUGGAAUUCCUGGUGUAGCGGUGAAAUGCGCAGAUAUCAGGAGGAACACCGGUGGCGAAGGCGGGUCUCUGGGCCGAUAUUGACGCUGAGGAGCGAAAGCGUGGGGAGCGAACAGG
RNAcentral lists this ribosomal RNA (256 nucleotides) under uncultured bacterium. Its description in RNAcentral is "partial 16S ribosomal RNA". It matches the Rfam family "Bacterial small subunit ribosomal RNA", at positions 524 to 776 of the family's 1533-position model. The record is from RNAcentral.